GAGCUGGUUUCUAGUAGUAUCAAUGAAAGCAACAGCGGCGCAACUGCCUCCUGCUGUGCUUGAAUUUCCCUAUCAAUCGCUAGAGCGGCCAUUAGCUUGUAGGUGUAGUAAUUUCUUCGUUAGUGUUGGCGAAGGUAUUCAUUUCUUUCCCUUACAUCAAGUGCUGAGAAAAAAGAAAACUAAAAAAGUGCCACCCAACAUGCAUCAAUA
This 210-nucleotide unclassified non-coding RNA is filed under the name Hevea brasiliensis (rubber tree). Lineage: Eukaryota; Viridiplantae; Streptophyta; Magnoliopsida; Malpighiales; Euphorbiaceae. The record is from RNAcentral.